CUUUACGGGCGAUACACAUUUGGAUUCGUUCUUGAAAGUUUUCCAUCACUCUCGCUAGCAUUUCGGGGGAAAUUCUUUCAAUUUCCUUUUGGAUGGCCUCCUUCAAUUCAAGGACCAAGGACGAUGUUUGAAAACCUCGGCCUUGAGCUACGGUCCAUACAGGGCGUCGUCAGCGCGAAAUUUUGCAGAUGAUGUUCAAAUGUGUAUCGCCCGUAACGGCCACCAUUUGGACGACAUAAUUUUUAAAACAUAAAGUAAAAAAAAAACUUUUUUUAUAUCUAGAUUUAAGAAAUAAAAAGUAUCUGGUGUUAUCUCGUACCAAUUUUUAUUUUUCAAUAGUUUUUUAAAAUGUGGGAGUUAUUUCUGCCGCACCCUGUAUAAAUAGACGAUCUAAUUUCAUAGGUAUUCAUGUUGUAACAGUAACGCAGCAAAAUGAAUCGUGCACAAUUCAGUAAUGUAAUAUAAAACAUUAACUAUUGUACAUGUAUUACUUAUCAAUAAUUAGAAAGAAACUUUUGGGACAACCUAAUACUUGGAAACAGAGACCUGGGCACUUUUGAUACGACAUUGUUUCGAUAAUCUUUUUAUUUUUAUUUCAAUAAAAAAUUUGCCCAGGUCUGCUUGGAAACAUGAAUUCUUUCUAUGCAUAAAAGAUCUGAAAAAUGCGUAAGGAUUCUCCGAAUACCUGCUCGAUAGAGCAAACUUCGUAAACGUAAUAUUACAAGAGUUCUUUUAUUCGUUUCUUUACUUGAUUUUUUUUUUAUUCGAACGAAUGUUUGCCCAUCUCUGCGCUCAGACGACGAAUUCGACGACCAAAUCAAGCCGCGAGAAGAUAAAAAAAAGGCUCUCCAGCAGUUCACUCGCGAAAUUAAUUCGUUUAUCCCUCCAUGCCUACCGCAUUGUAUUUUUUACCGAUUAUAAAAAUUGUAACCGAAAAUAAUCAUUUUAAGUUACAAUGAAUACUAUCAAUUUUUAUUUUGCUUAAGCGCGUUGUAUCCUCCGUUACUAAAAAGAAAAAGAAUGUUCUGUUCAGAUGCAGGACACGAAGGAAUUAACGCAACGACCGAAGAUCGAGAGCACUAAUUGUUAACAAACAAAGAGAUCGUAUCUGCGUGAGAAAGUAUCAAUUGUCGUUGUUUUUCCACCAUUCAUCGUUCUUUUUUUCCUUCAAUUUAUUCUUUCGUCUAAUGAAAGUCCCUUUGCAUUAGGGUUGCAAACCCUUAAACGAGUGCCGUAAUCAACUUGACAUCAAAGGUAGGAACUACCUGCCUCGGACUAAAAAAUAUCACGUACAGCCUCUGUAAGUAUUGCUACGAUCAAUUGUGCUCUUUUUAUCGGCCCUCCUGUCUCUCGUUUCCACACUCGUACGCGCAUGCAUUCACUCCCUCUCUCUCUCUCUUUCUCUCUGUCGCAUUCUCUCAUUCAUUUUCUCUUCAAUUUUGCACGAUACCUCGGUACAUAAGUUUGCUUACGCUACGCAGAUAGCCUCUACGGUUGCUUCGUUUUAAGCUAGGCGCAAACUCAGCGCAAUGGUGACGCAGCGAACUAUAUACCACGUUGCAUUGCACGCUGCGCGUUGAAAACUCAGUUUACGCUUCGUUGGUUCGUGUAGCUUUUUGAGACCUUUG
Molecule: long non-coding RNA, 1628 nt
Organism: Hylaeus anthracinus
Lineage: Eukaryota; Metazoa; Arthropoda; Insecta; Hymenoptera; Colletidae
Exons: 2
Source: RefSeq, a predicted model, not a curated record